RNAcentral lists this long non-coding RNA (858 nucleotides) under Vigna radiata. Its description in RNAcentral is "long non-coding RNA (VRAD_LNC018109)". Lineage: Eukaryota; Viridiplantae; Streptophyta; Magnoliopsida; Fabales; Fabaceae. The record is from RNAcentral.
AUGUUAAUGUUCAUGGCAGUUUAUAUGUAUGCAAGUUUUGGCACAAUGAAUAAAUGAUUAUUGUCCAUUGAAAUUGAUAAUGUAAUGGUUAAAUGAUCAAGGGGGCGACAAUAUAGAACUUGGGGAAGGUUCCAACACAUUGGGUUAAAGCUGGUUGCAAAAGUGUCAUUGGUGAAGGGCUACAAUUGAAGUCAAUUUUCCAAGAUUUCAUCAUUUCCAAGUUUGUAAUUACCUUCCCCUUUUGUUUGCCUUGGUUGAUUUUGGUUAAUUGCCAUCUUGCCUUGUUGUGUGUAUCUUUUUCUUUUACUUCACUAUACUUUUAUGAUAUAGCUAUAGCUAGAUCUGUUGUGUUUCUUGGUUUUCCUCUUGCUUGAAACUAUAAUGAGCCAAGGUAGAGUCAAAAUAAAGGGUGUAUAAAUAGUGAAAGAAAAGGGAAGAAGAGUGUGUGAAGGGUUGAGAGAGAAAGAGAGAUAGAGAGAGAGCGAGAGAGAGAAAGAAAGAGAGAAAGAGGAGUCAAGGAAAACAGUAAAAAGUUGACAGCAAAAGCAUUAACUAUUAUAGGGAACAAAUAAGACCAAAGUCAGCUAAGGUUUAUAACAUUGGAUCUCUUUAUGCCUCUCAAAACUGUGUGGGAGCGUUGAAUGGUUGUCUACUACUUUUACAAGUCUUUAACCCCAUAAAACCAAACAAUAAUGUUAAUUAGAUAAAGGUGGUGACUCCUGCAAACUAAAAUAUUCAUCACAUUCUCCUUAUAACUCAAAAUUAGUGGUCUACUUAAGUUAUUUUGUGCAUAUUUGGGUUGUUGGAAGUUCAUUUAGAAUUACAGUGUUUUUGUGUUGUAUCUUACCUGUUAUUGAG